CUCGAUGUCGGCUCAUCGCAUCCUGGGGCUGAAGCAGGUCCCAAGGGUUGGGCUGUUCGCCCAUUAAAGCGGUACGCGAGCUGGGUUUAGAACGUCGUGAGACAGUUCGGUCCCUAUCCUCUGCAGCCGUAGGUAAAUUGAGGAAAGCUAUCCCUAGUACGAGAGGACCGGGAUGGACGUAGCUCUAGUGUGCCAGUUGUCCUGCCAAGGGCAUGGCUGGUUGGCUACCUACGGACGGGAUAACCGCUGAAAGCAUCUAAGCGGGAAGCCUCUUCCAAGAUGAAUUUACCCACAGGGUUAACCUGGUAAGGCCCGUGGCAGAACACCACGUUGAUAGGCCGGAAGUGUAAGCGCAGUAAUGCGUUCAGCUGACCGGUACUAAUCGGCCGAGGGCUUGGGUUUCUACA
RNAcentral lists this ribosomal RNA (407 nucleotides) under Actinomycetota bacterium. RNAcentral's name for it is "Actinobacteria bacterium partial 23S ribosomal RNA". It matches the Rfam family "Bacterial large subunit ribosomal RNA", at positions 2525 to 2925 of the family's 2925-position model. The record is from RNAcentral. Lineage: Bacteria; Bacillati; Actinomycetota.